Molecule: ribosomal RNA, 623 nt
Filed under: Antiporus femoralis
Lineage: Eukaryota; Metazoa; Arthropoda; Insecta; Coleoptera; Dytiscidae
Description: SSU rRNA
Rfam family: Eukaryotic small subunit ribosomal RNA
Source: RNAcentral
GUGAUCCUGCCAGUAGUCAUAUGCUUGUCUCAAAGAUUAAGCCAUGCAUGUCUCAGUACAAGCCUAAUUAAGGUGAAACCGCGAAAGGCUCAUUAAAUCAGUUAUGGUUCCUUAGAUCGUACCCACACUUACUUGGAUAACUGUGGUAAUUCUAGAGCUAAUACAUGCAAACAGAGCUCCGACCGGAGACGGGAGGAGUGCUUUUAUUAGAUCAAAACCAAUCGGCAGCGGGCGCGUCCGCGCGUCCGUUCGCCGCUCUACCUGGUGACUCUGAAUAACUUUACGCUGAUCGCACGGUCUCGCACCGGCGACGCAUCUUUCAAAUGUCUGCCUUAUCAACUGUCGAUGGUAGGUUCUGCGCCUACCAUGGUCGUAACGGGUAACGGGGAAUCAGGGUUCGAUUCCGGAGAGGGAGCCUGAGAAACGGCUACCACAUCCAAGGAAGGCAGCAGGCGCGCAAAUUACCCACUCCCGGCACGGGGAGGUAGUGACGAAAAAUAACGAUACGGGACUCAUCCGAGGCCCCGUAAUCGGAAUGAGUACACUUUAAAUCCUUUAACGAGGACCAAUUGGAGGGCAAGUCUGGUGCCAGCAGCCGCGGUAAUUCCAGCUCCAAUAGCGUA